Molecule: long non-coding RNA, 3264 nt
Filed under: Canis lupus familiaris (dog)
Lineage: Eukaryota; Metazoa; Chordata; Mammalia; Carnivora; Canidae
Description: lncRNA (ENSCAFG00000059306.1)
Source: RNAcentral
CCUUCAUCACUGCGUCAGCAUCAUUUCCUGUCUGGAAGGAAGCAACAAUAAGUUCAAGUUACUAAAACUGAUGAAAUUAGAUUAGCUACAGAUGCAGAAAAGAUGCUGUCCUCCCCUGGGAGGAACCUGGUGUGAAUGACCCUCAUGUACCCCACCUGCAUGAGCUCCCCAGCAAAGGAAAUCAUGCACCAUGUUUUUCUCCAUUUUUGCUAAACCUUUAAAUAAUAUCUGUUGCAGAUGGGACAUAUGUGCUUUUAAAUGCCAAUGCUAAGAAUUCUUUGUUUUAAAGCAGAAGAAAGGUUUUCCUUGUCAGGAAAACAAAAGCUGAAAAGUGACUCACAAGCUUAUUAAAAGAAGCACCAGAUCCAGUGGCAGCUCGGCUGUCAUUAGCAGAAUCACAUGCAGUUAGCGAGACACUCCUCGGGGAGCUUACAAACGGGUUGCUCUUCCUUUCCUGCAUAGAUUGUCAUAGCCUGGCCCACUACACUCCUUUCCAAGGACAGAAGUUGGGCUUCUGUAGAAACAUCAUCAGGUAACAUAUGUACCUGGUAGCAGAGGAUAGAAUAUUAGAGAAGGUAUAAAAUUCAUAGGGCCCAGCUCAGGUGGCACCAUAGUCUCUUAAAUAUUAGGGUUUUGUCAGCCUGAGAUCUCUAAUUCUAUCUCCUGGUUGAAGGACUUUGGGUUUUGGCCUUUGAGUGUGGGGAAUGUUGCUCCUCUCAUCUAUCCCUCUCCUACACGUAACGCCCAUCUUCACCUCCACAUGGUGAGCCCACGUAUGGCUUACCUAGUACUAUGCAAACAAUUACCCCAGAACCGUGCAGCUUAAAGCAACAGUCAUCUUGCCCAGUUUCUGUGGAUCAGGAGUUGAAGAGUGGAUGGGUGCUCAGAGGGUUGUGAGCAAGAUGUCAGCCAGCGCUGGAGUCACCAGAACUGGAGGGUCCAUUUCCAAGCUCAGUCAUGUGGUUGUCACAGGCAUUCCGUUCCUCGCUGGCUGCUGAGCCAGGGUGUCAGGGUCUCAUCACAUGAGGCCUCCAGGCGCCGCCUGAGGGUCCUCGUAACAUGACAUCUGGCUUCCUCUAAAGUAAUGGAUAGAGAGAGAAAGAGAGGGGAGAGAGAGAGAAAAAAAAAAAAAACCUCAAAACAGAAACCACAAUCUUUCUAUGACCUAAUUUCAGAAGUAACAUACCCUUGCUUCUUGCCAUGUACUAUUCAUUAGAAGCCAGUCACCAAGUCCAGCCCACACUUGAGGAGGAGAUUUAAGCUCCCCCUCUUGAAGACAAGAAUAUCAGGAAUUUGUGGACAUAUUUUUAAAACCACCAUAGCCCAUCAGAAAGGCCAUAUUUAAUCUCCAAAGGAUGAUUUAGGAUGUUACCUCAGAAUACUUCUAGACUCUAAGAUCAUAACCCUGUGACUUCGUCAGGUUAUGGAUUCUAGGGAAGUUCAAUGAAUCAAGGGCUCGGAAAUGCUGCUCUCUCUCCCCUGCUCCAUGUUAUUUGUGUUUUUCAAGAGGGGCAUUUUGUCCUGCUCCACUCGGAAGUGAUAUCGCCUCUUAUUUUCAUCUCUCAAUUACUCCUUUCAUGAUCGGUUUUUGCUUUCUGGGUCAGAAGUAUCAACACCAGAGGUGAAGUUGCUAUCACAAAAUCAUGACCUCAUGCCUCCAUCAUGAUCAUGCUGCUAAGGUGACAUUGAGAAAAGGUCCCUAUACACUUGCUGGAGCAAUCAGACAUGGCUUAGGUACCAGGGAAUGUGUGAUCAUGUAGGAAAUAUUCACCAUCUGCUCUCAGGGGGAGUUUUUUUAAAAAAAUUAUUUUUAGAGGUUCAUUUUGUGACUGAUAGAUAUUAACCAAUUCUCUCAGUUAAAUAAGAAACCAAUGGUCUACAUUGGGAUAGCUGUAGAUUAAAUGAACACUGGUUUAGUGGUCAUCUAGAAUAGAAGGAUCUUACUUGUAUCUGUGUGACUGAUAUUUUUCUUUUUAACAGAAGCAUCUUCUUGCUUAUAAAACUCAGUCGUGUUCAUGCUAAACAUUUUAAGUAAUAUAAAAUGGUACAAAGUAGAAAGUUAAAAUACCAUCUUCAAUUCUUCACUCUCAAGAUGACCACUAGGAGGUGGAUUGUAUCUUUCCAGAUCUAUGUGCCUGUGUGCUUUUUAAGUGGGCUGAUGUUGCUAUAGGCUCUUCUAAUGCUUAUGCUGUUGAUCUAUAAUUGCAAUUUUAGGUUUCUUCAUAUGGUGGUUACCUCACCUACCAAAUCAAGUCCUUUGGCCUACCUGGUGACAUGGUUCUUCUGGAAAAGAAGCCAGAUGUGCAGCUCACUGUAGGUAUCAGAGUGCAGCCUGAGGGGCUGGAAGUGGCAAUUGUAGUUGGUUGCUGAUCCAGUUUUGGGACAUCUUAAUAAAUGGCCUAUAAAAGAUUAGAUUAAGUCAUUUCCAAUAUUUUGUAGAAAUUGAAAGGGAAGUUGAGAGCAGGUAAGCCCCCCUCAGGAUCCUGCUUCCCCUGGUCAUCCAGCCCCAAUGGCUUCUCUUCUGUCUCCUCCCAAGGAAUGUCACUAUAUCUCACACUUGCUUCUCAUAAAUUAUUGCUUCAUGUUAAACUUUGUUGAAUGUCUCGAUAUUUUUUUAAAAAUAUUUUAUUUAUUUAUUCAUCAGAGACAGAGAGAGGCAGAGACAUAUGAAGAGGGAGAAGCAGGCUCCCUGCAGGGAGCCCGAUAUGGGACUCAAUCCUAGGAUCCCGGGAUCAUGACCUGAGCCAAAGGCAGACGCUCAACCCCUGAGCCACCCAGGUGUCACCAUUGUCUCCACCUCUCAAUUUAGUCUCACAGUAGCUUUUGAGACCCUCCUGUUGGCAAGGCUCAUUGCUGGGCUCAGAAAGGACAGGUGAUCCCUGUCCUUCACAAAAGCGUAAUCUAAGAGGGGAGGCAGAAGAAAUAUGCACAUAGCUACAAUCCACUGAACAAUAUGCAUUUGAGGUGAAGUUUGAACAGUCUUGUGACUCUGUGAGAGCUGGGGUCCAAGUGGGGGCUUACGUGGUUGAGAAGCCCUCAGAAGGCUUCGUGGAAAAGGUUCAUUUUGAGCCAGACCUUUAAGCAUGGGCAUGGCAAGAGCACCCUUCCAGGGGCAAAGAAUAAUAUAAAUCAAGGCAGGGACACCUGGGUGGCUCAGUGGUUGAACGUUUGCCUUUGGCACAGGGUGUGAUCCUGGAGUCCUGGGAUCGAGUCCUGCAUCGGGCUUCCCGCAGGGACCCUGCUUCUCCCUUUGCCUAUGUCUCU